AUGCCAACAAUAUUUUCAAGAUCUUUCGACACUGAACCAGCAAUGGUGAUAUGCAUGCAAUCCACACUACUGUUCCAAAAACUCAUAUUGUUUGUGGUAUGCCUACUUUUCCUUCAAGAACACGCAGUUAGGUGUGGUGGCAUCUCACUGCAGGAUCAGAGGAUGGCGCUUCUUCACUGGAAAUCUACUCUCCGAAGCUUGCCGUUGCAGAUGAGCUCAUGGAAGAAGAACACUAGCCCAUGCAAGAAUUGGGCUGGCAUCAUAUGUAGUCCCGUGCGCCAUGGCAGCCACACGCCAUGGGUUGUGACCAACGUCUCCCUGGUAAGCGCUGGGAUCCAUGGCCGGCUUGAUGGUCUCAACUUCUCGGCGCUCCCCUUCCUCGCAUACAUUGAUCUCAGCAGCAACAUUCUCCAUGGGACCAUCCCUGGCAGCAUCAACUCAUUGUCAGCACUCUCCUACCUUGACCUCAGCAGCAACUGGCUGGAUGGACAAGUGCCAUAUGAGAUGGGUGAACUGCGGAGUCUCACUGUAUUGGCGCUCCACUCCAACAAUCUCACAGGUCACAUCCCUGCAUCCCUAUGUAACCUGACAAGGUUAACUCAGCUUGUGCUUGGUCAAAACAUGUUCUCCGGGAGUAUCCCAAUAGAGAUAGGAAGGCUCGUCAACCUAGAGAAUUUGCAGUUAAGCAACAACUUGUUGAGCAAUGAGAUACCUAGAACUGUUGGAAACUUGACAAAAUUAGCCCUUUUGUAUCUGUACGGUAAUCAAUUGUCAGGACAUAUACCAUUUGAGAUUGCUGGUCUAUUGAAUCUUACUGCGCUGGAGAUUUCCUCUAACAACCUGACAGGCUCUAUCCCUAUAUCAUUGGGUAAUCUAACGAGGUUAACUCUCCUUUACAUUAAUCAAAACAUGGUCUCAGGUGCCAUACCGGAGGAGAUAGGAAGGCUUGCCAACCUGCAAAUCCUAAACAUCUACUUCAAUAGCUUAAGUGGUGAGAUACCCACGAGCCUUGGGAACUUGACAAAAUUAGAAAGUUUGCAGCUUUGCGGAAACGGAUUGUCAGGGUCUGUACCUUCAGAGCUAGGCAAGCUCAUCAACUCGAAAGAUAUUGAGCUCUUCUGGAAUAAUCUCACCUCUCAAAUCCCCAUCUCAUUAACCAAUCUCACCAUGCUAAACACACUCUAUCUGCAUCAUAAUGAAAUGACAGGGCCAUUUCCUGACGAAAUUGGCAAUCUAGUAAAUCUGAAGCAGUUGACUUUGGCCAGUAACAAAUUUCAUGGCUCCAUUCCCCCAAGCAUAGGAAAUCUUACAAACCUACAAGAUGUAGACAUUAGUGAUAACAAAUUAGCCAAUUCCAUACCCCAUGGACUAUGCAAUCUAGUUAAUCUCCAAUAUUUCCUCAUGUUCACCAACCAGAUUUCUGGCCUUAUUCCUCCCUGUAUAGUAAACCUUACAGAGCUAAUAGAGUUGGGCCUUUCUGAAAAUCCAAUGACCGGUACAAUACCCCAUGAUAUUGGCAAUCUAGUAAAUAUUGAUAUUUUGGGAUUGAGUGAGAAUCAAUUGUUUGGAUCAAUUCCAUCAUCAAUUGGCAACUUGAGCAUGAUGACAGUGUUAACGAUGAACUUCAACCAAUUGUCCGGUACUCUACCUCCAGAAUUUGAAAAUAUCACAGGCUUAGUCACUCUUCAGUUAGGUUACAACUCCCUCUCAGGCCGUUUGCCCUCAAAUGUAUGUAAGGGUGGUCAGCUCGAGAAGUUCGGUGCUGAUCACAACAUGUUUGAUGGCCCUAUUCCAGGGAGCUUGAAGACAUGCACGAGUCUGACUCGGGUUUUACUAGGCUGGAAUCAACUCACAGGAGAUAUAUCUCAACGAUUUGGUGUUCAUCCACGUCUCCAGUUCAUGAACCUAAUGUCUAACAAUCUCACUGGAGAACUCUCACCAAACUGGGGGGCGUGCUUGAACCUAUCUGUGCUCAAUGUAGCAGAAAAUUUUAUCACUGGAACAAUCCCUCCAGAACUGUCAGGGUUGUCCAAGCUAGGAGAGUUAUUGCUCCAUUCCAACCGACUAGCGGGAAGAAUACCACCAGAGUUGGGUAACUUGACAAAUUUAUACAACCUUAGCUUGGCAUCAAACCAAUUAUCAGGAUCCAUACCUUCUGAGCUGGGGCAACUGAGCAAUCUGGAAUAUCUUGACAUAUCUGAAAACAAUUUGAGUGGUCCAAUACCAAAGUCGUUGGGAGGCUGCACCAAACUACUGCUCUUGAACAUCAACAGCAACAGAUUCAAUGGAAAUCUGCCAGAUGAAAUUGGAAAUUUGGCAAGCCUCCAGAGCAUGUUAGAUCUCAGCAACAAUAGACUCGAUGGUGUGUUACCACAACAACUUGGAAGGCUGACGAUGUUAAUAUACCUAAAUUUGUCCCACAAUCAGUUCAACGGAAGCAUUCCAUCCUCAUUCGCAAGCAUGCCCAGCCUUUCAACGCUCGAUGUGUCGUACAACAACUUGGAAGGGCCACUACCAACAGGAGGCCUGUUUCGUAGUGCUUUGGUAGGCUGGUUUCUCCAUAAUGAAGGUUUAUGUGGCAAUCUCUCUGGACUGCCACCUUGUAAUCCAGUUCCUGCAUUCAAUCGUCAUAAAAAGAAGUUGCUUAGUUCCAUCCUGGCGGUAGUCCUUCCCCUGUGUGCAGUUAUUCUUUUAAUAAUUAUUGGCACUACAAUGUUUACCUGCAACAGGAGAAAAUCGCAAGAAAGUGUGUCUAUUGAAGGAAGAGAUGUGUUCUCUGUUUGGAACUUUGAUGGGAGGCUAGCAUUUGAGGAUAUAAUCAGGGCAACGGAAAAUUUCGACGACAAGUAUAUAAUUGGAGAAGGAGGUUACGGCAAGGUCUACAUAGCACAGCUCCAAGAUGGGAACCUGGUUGCUGUGAAGAAACUUCAUCCCACUGAAGAAGAAUUGAUUGAUGAAAGAAGGUUUCAUAGUGAAAUGGAAAUCUUAGCACAAAUCCGACAGCGAAGCAUUGUCAAGCUUUAUGGAUCCUGCUCCCAUCCAGAGUAUAAGUUUCUUGUCUAUGAGUACAUUCAGCGGGGAAGCCUCCACAUGAUCUUAGAAAAUGAGGAACUAGCCAAUGAAUUUGAUUGGCAGAAGAGAGCUGCUCUUGUAGAAGAUUUAGCUCAAGCGAUAUAUUACUUGCACUACGACUGCAACCCACCUAUAAUUCAUCGAGAUAUCACAAGCAACAACAUCUUACUUGAUACAAAUUUCAAGGCAUACGUCUCGGAUUUUGGCACAGCAAGGAUUCUGAAACCUGAUUCAUCAAACUGGAGUGCACUAGCAGGGACAUAUGGCUACAUAGCUCCUGAGCUAUCCUACACAUCUGUUGUGACAGAGAAAUGUGAUGUCUAUAGCUUUGGUGUGCUUGUUCUAGAGGUGGUAAUGGGAAAGCAUCCCAGGGAUUUGUUACAAGCUCUUAUGCCAUCUAUGGAGCAACAUAUACUGGUCAAAGAAAUACUAGACCAACGACCUGCAGCACCAACAACAACAGAAGAGGAAAGCAUAGUCCUUAUUAUCAAGGUGGCUUUUUCUUGCAUGGAAGCUUCUCCUCAAGCAAGGCCAACAAUGCAAGACUUAUACCGGAGACUCACUCAACAAAACAAUUCUAGCUCAUGGUCGGUGCCUUUCAAUGUUCUUACACUUGAGGAACUGAGGGAUGCAUAAUGUGCUUCUAGAGAUUAUUUCUUCACAGCAUUCUCUGAAUAAGUAUUUAGGAUCUGCCGUGUGUUGUCGCCACCAUGCUCCGGUGCUGCAUCAAAGGGAGGUAGGACGGCGAGGCCAGGAGCAUCAACAGGUAGCAUGGCUUAGUUAUUCUGCGCCCAAUUCCUUCAAAGAAAUUUGAACGGUGGAGUUCUGAAAGCUGGGUCUGGGUGUGAGAGCUCAAGAUGUGCGGAUCUUGGGGUGGCCGGAGAUGGAGAAGGGGAC
Phragmites australis (common reed) is the source of this 3969-nucleotide RNA transcript. It is a transcript of the gene named MDIS1-interacting receptor like kinase 2-like, with no coding region annotated. The record is from RefSeq and is a predicted model, not a curated record. NCBI's taxonomy places the organism in Eukaryota, Viridiplantae, Streptophyta, Magnoliopsida, Poales, Poaceae. The transcript is spliced from 4 exons.